Molecule: long non-coding RNA, 945 nt
Organism: Oncorhynchus tshawytscha (Chinook salmon)
Lineage: Eukaryota; Metazoa; Chordata; Actinopteri; Salmoniformes; Salmonidae
Source: Ensembl
GGACUGCCACCCCGGUGUUCCAGCAUAGCACUACAUCACAGCACUACAGGGAGAGAUGGGGAAACUCCACUGAACUAGUUUCAAUACUAACUAUAGACAUUAAAAGCAUUCAUAUGCAUACCUGGACUCUGAGGCCAUCAUCACAGGUGCUUCUAGACAGGUGGACUGCGGCAGCAUGAAUGUGUUUGUUGUCUCCUCUCCAGCCUGAGGACUUCCCUGAGAUGGAGAUCUUGUGGCAGCUGACCUGCGCCUGGAACACAGGCAUCCUGCUUUACAGCCUGGCCGAGUACCCUGAGGGGUGGUGUGGCCUGGGCAUGAGCUUCCUCCGCUGCCUGGGCUCCCUGCAGGAGAGCUACCAGACACAGAUGUCAGAUCUGUACACAGGUCCUGGAUAGUCUGGACAAAGCCAAGAAGAACCUCCUCUUGGAGUCGUGAUUUGAGCUGGUAGAGCUUUGCAGAGCUCUUUUACUGUCUGGCACCUGAUGUUAUUCAUGUGGUAGCUGGGAUGGUAGUUUACUAUAUGAUGUAUGACUGGUCUCCAGUUUAGUCAGCUCCUCCAGGAUGUCAGUUGCAUCCUGUCCUCACCCAAUAUUUCCCUCACUUUCCCUAUGGAGAGUUCAGAUAACCAUUUCUGCUGGGGCGACAGGGUAGCCUAGUGGUUAGAGCGUUGGACUAGUAACCGAAAGGUUGCAAGUUCAAAUCCCCGAGCUGACAAGGUACAAAUCUGUCGUUCUGCCCCUGAACAGGCAGUUAACCCACUGUUCCUAGGCCGUCAUUGAAAAUAAGAAUUUGUUCUUAACUGACUUGCCUAGUAAAAUAAAGGUUAAAAAAAAAAAAAUCUGCACAUGAAUGGACUUUAUUUUAAGCCUCUUGCAUAUAUUACAUUUAUGUGAAUUUUACAUGUAAAAAUUUCAUUAAUCUUAAUUAAACAAAUCUUAAACUGCC